GCAAGAGUUUUGAAGUCAGUUGUAUGUAAUAGAUAGAAUGUGGACAUGAUAAAAUGUAAAGUUAUGAAUAGUUAUGUAAUGUAAUGAUAUUGAGGAUUAGAGGUUGUGCUUGACCUAUGUGUAAUGUAUCCCUUUUAAUGCAUGAUCCUAGAUCUUUUAUGAUGUUUAUGUAAACCAGCUCAAAACAUGUUGUAAUUGCCCAUUGGGGCAUUGAUGAGAUCCCACAGAGGGAUCGAUGUUUAUGAUUAUGUCUAUGUUCAGUGCAUGCACAGGUUGAGUUUGGUUGAUGUAUUUGGAAAGAAAAGUUUUAAUUUUUAUGUAUGAUUGUUGAUCAUGUAUGGGAUUAAACAGGUUUACAG
This 359-nucleotide long non-coding RNA is filed under the name Manihot esculenta (cassava). RNAcentral's name for it is "long non-coding RNA (MESC_LNC009216)". Lineage: Eukaryota; Viridiplantae; Streptophyta; Magnoliopsida; Malpighiales; Euphorbiaceae. The record is from RNAcentral.